GAUGAACGCUGGCGGCGUGCCUAAUACAUGCAAGUCGAGCGAACGGACGAGAAGCUUGCUUCUCUGAUGUUAUCGGCGGACGGGUGAGUAACACGUGGAUAACCUACCUAUAAGACUGGGAUAACUUCGGGAAACCGGAGCUAAUACCGGAUAAUAUUUUGAACCGCAUGGUUCAAAAGUGAAAGACGGUCUUGCUGUCACUUAUAGAUGGAUCCGCGCUGCAUUAGCUAGUUGGUAAGGUAACGGCAUACCAAGGCAACGAUGCAUAGCCGACCUGAGAGGGUGAUCGGCCACACUGGAACUGAGACACGGUCCAGACUCCUACGGGAGGCAGCAGUAGGGAAUCUUCCGCAAUGGGCGAAAGCCUGACGGAGCAACGCCGCGUGAGUGAUGAAGGUCUUCGGAUCGUAAAACUCUGUUAUUAGGGAAGAACAUAUGUGUAAGUAACUGUGCACAUCUUGACGGUACCUAAUCAGAAAGCCACGGCUAACUACGUG
Molecule: ribosomal RNA, 497 nt
Filed under: uncultured bacterium
Lineage: Bacteria
Description: partial 16S ribosomal RNA
Rfam family: Bacterial small subunit ribosomal RNA
Source: RNAcentral